Molecule: long non-coding RNA, 4769 nt
Filed under: Sus scrofa (pig)
Lineage: Eukaryota; Metazoa; Chordata; Mammalia; Artiodactyla; Suidae
Description: lncRNA (ENSSSCG00040030151.1)
Source: RNAcentral
CAAUGCCGAAUCCUUAACCCACUAAGCCAGGCUGGGGAUCAAACCUAUGUCCCAUGGCUCCAGAGACGCUACCGAUUCCAUUGCACCACAGCAGAAAUUCCCAGGGAAGCAUUUUAUUUGAGCAUCUCCUAGAUCCAGUUCUCUGCAGAACCUAAUCCAGGCGAUGAGAAUGAAGUUUGACCAACCGUCAGCAACAAAGCCUUCAAAUGUGAUUCUCUCUUUGAACACCUCCAGUGACAGGCAGAUCACUACCUACUGUGUGUUCCUGUUGAAUUCAGGGACUUCUCUGAUGCAUUUUCCCACCCAAUGAUGCUGGCCUCCAGGUUAAAAAUCUAGUGUAAUCUAGCAUAUCUUCAUCAGACAAACUUUCAUGUUAAAUAAUAUAAAGAAAGCAUACCUUCUUUUAUUUACUGAUUCACAUCCAAGAUAUAAACUCUAUUUAUACACAGGAUAAAAUAAAGAUCUAUUAAGUCCUGAGGAGGGAGAGGGGUGGAAUACCACUAGGUUCCUUUAAAAGCCUCACUUAGGGGAGUUAAAAAAAACUAACAAAAUCUCCAUUUACUCCCCAUUGCACAGAAAGCAGGAUCUACCGCUUCACUAUGGGGACAUUCUUACUAAAAAAAUAUAGGCCUGUGCAGCCUAUGAUCUUUCUGCUACACAGAGCAUCUAUCAAUGAUAUAAAAAGAACACCUAUCAAUGAUAUAAAAAUCUUGUGCAGAUCUUCCUAAAAUGUAAAAAAUAAAAGGGGGAAGGGAGCAGAGAUGAAGAGAGAGAUGAAAAUGUGAGGUAUGUGUGAAUUUGCCACCAGGCACCACUGAAAAGGUAAAGCAGAGGAUGCUGAUGGGGAAUGUCACCACCACCUAAAGGGGGAAAUGAAGACAAUGACAUCAUCUAUGUGACUAAGCCAUGCCCACCUGCCCUCCACUUUGUUUAACUGGUCCAAUUUCAGGUGCAAACAGCAUAGCAGUCAAGGCAUCUGUUUUACUCUGUCAAACCAACAGGAUUCUUUCUCCUUGAAAGGCUUGUUUCAUACCUAUUUUCUUUGGGGCCCUAGGAGAUAAGGAUAGAAUGGACCAGACUAUGUAUUUAAUGUUAAUGGAAAAUGCCACACAUGCAAUAUAGUUAGGAAGAUAAAGGGCAAGACUGGCAUUUUUCUUUCUCCUUAUUUCAAUGAACCAUCCCCUAGUGUAAAGCAAGCAGCAUAUAUUUCCAGUUCAUGGAUUAGAUGUGUAUGUUUCCUGGAGCAAUAUUUAAAUGUAGUGGCAUGGGACUAUGACAAAAAUAAUCAGAAAGAGUAACUCUAAAGGCUCUCUUGGUAUUGGCAAGACCAGUCUUUGAAGUGGGGGGGAAAAAAAAACAAAAAACAAAUCUGUGAAGGAGCUGAGCAGCUACACAGCCCAGCAAGUGUAGACUCUGCUUAUACCUUGAAUUGAGGCCAUGCGUGGCUAUAAUACAUAGUUUUUUCAGGAAAACAGUCACUCAGAGAUUGGUGUAGAAAUAAAUACAAAUACUCAGAAACAAGGUGCUAAUGGAGAUGGUGUAAACAUGUGUGGGCCCACAUUUAUCUGUAUGUAUCUGCACGUCUAUAAAUUUCCCCACUAUAAAUGGGUUCACCAGUACUGUCACUCUUGUAUUAUCUCAGAAAAUUGCCUGAAGAAUUUCUUUAAUUUCUGCCUCUCCAUUUUUUUCUUUCUUUUUAGGAUCAUACCUGCAGCAUAUGUACAUUCCUGGACCAGCGGUUGAAUCGGAGCAGCAGCUACUGGCCUACAGCACAGCCACACCAGAUCUGAGCCACAUCUGUAACCUACACUGCAGCUCACGGCAACAUAAACUAUGGCCCCAGAAGCAAAGUCUGGCCCACCACCUGUUUUUGUAAUUAAAGUUUUAUUGGAACACAGCCUCAUCCAUGUAUUUUCUGUGCCGCCUUCAAAUCACAAUGGCAGAGUGGAGUAGUUGUGAGAGAGUUUCUAUGAUCUGCAAAGCCUAAAAUAUUUAUUAUAUGGCCCUUUACAGAAAAACUUAACCCUGAACUAGACUAUCUCAUAUUGAUUUUGGUUUAUGAUUCAAUAAAGUACAACCAAAGAAUAAAGGCCUACUCUGUGUGCUUCCUGCCCUUUUUAUUUAUGUAUCCAGACACACCUUGCUUUAUUGCUCUUUGAAGAUACUGUUUUUGUUUUUUGUAUUUUGUUUUUUGGGGUUUUUUUUUUUUUUGACAAAUCGAAGGUUCGUGGCAACACUGUCAGGCAAGUCUAUAGGAGCCAUUUUUUUCAACAGCAUUUGUUCACUUCGUGUCAUUGUGUCCCAUUUUGGUAAUUUGGUAAUUCAAACUUUAUCAUUUGUUAAAGUGACCUUUGAUGUUAGUGAAUGACUUGCUGAAGGCUCCGAUGAUGAUUAGUAUCUUUUAGUAAUACAUGACUUUUAAGGUAUGUACAUUGUCUUUUAAAACCAUUCAAUGGCAAAAUGAUUGUAUUAUCAAGUAAUUGAAGGUCAUAUGACUUAUUAGGUUAUGUUAUGACAGCUAAUGUUGCUCAUUAAAGUAACUUAUCCAUCUCAAUGGAAUAUGAUGUUGCCAUAAGUUAGUGUCACUCUGGGUUCAGGAAUGCAUAAGAAUUUCCUAUUGAAAUAAAAGUUAAUUAAAAAAAACCCAUAAUGCUAUUGCACACUUAACAGACCACAGUACAGUGUAAACACAAUUUAUAUAUGCACUGGGAAACCAAGAUAUUUGUAUGACGCACUCUAUCACAAUAUUCGCUUAGUUCAGUGGUCGGGAAAUGAACCUGCAAUAUCUCUGAGGUCUGCCUGGACUGCCUGACUCAUAGAAAGAUUUCGCUUGGCUCACAAAACUGUACAGAGCACACAACCACACACAUGAGGCAAAAGGGAAAUGAGGGAAGACACGGGUGAAGCUGGGAGGAUGUGAAAACACAGAAUGCAAACCCUGAGGCGCUGUGUAUUGUCAAUGGCCCACCAACCAGGCUCCAAGGAGCCACUGCAACAAGGGGCCAGGAUCUCUUUUCCACUUUAGAGUAUUCACUGGCGGUCCACCAGGAGGACCAUGGCAAUCCUGGCAGGAAGAAAUUUCUACCCCAAGUCUGCAGAAGCAGAGAACGUGAGAUGUAGUGAGCCAGGACCCCAACUACAUCCGCAGCCUGGGGGUGUCUCAGUGGAAUUCACUGCAACACUGAUAUAUCCCUUAGUGCGGGGCCACCUCCAAAGUGGAACUGAGCAUCCAUUCUCCCAGUAAAUUCCCAAAUUUUGAAUUAAGCAUGUACCAACUUUACAUCAGAAACCACAGAGUUCUCCUACGGCACAGUGGAUAACGGAUCUGGUGUCACUCCAGUAGCUUGGGUCACUGCUAUGGCACGGGUUGGAUCCCGGCCUGGGGACUUCCAUGUGCCAUGGGCACAGCCAAACAGAAAACAAAAAGAAAUACUUUAAUGUUAAAAAAGAUAAGGGAAGCAGUAAUCCUUGACAGCCUAGGAGACUGUAAUACAGAAACCUCAGCCAUUGCUCCAAGAGGGGGCCCUGUCCAGAUCUGCUGUUUUUGUGAAGCUAAGCCUGAGUGCCAAGGGGAGAGACAACGCAAGACGGGCUAUUCUGAGCCCUGGUCAAAGCAUGUUUAUCACUUUGGUGGUGAAGCUCCAGGUGGUAGCUAUAAAAAGCACUGGCGAAUGGUGAUUCUCAUUUGUCAUUGUUUACACUGAGCUCUACAACUUUAUAUCAACGUAAAUAAUUCACGCCCUGGGUCUCUGGCACUCACUGCCUUAUGCCCAGUGCCUGGAAGAGCGCCUGGUGCAGGUGAGAAGUAAGGACUUCCUGAAUGCACAAUGUGCUCGUCUGAGAAGUUCUCGAGAACCCAUGAAUCUACAGACAUGCUGAGGUUGUCUUGUUGAACCCUUCCCUGGCUGGGCCUUACCCACCAUGCCCUGGCUUUGAGACUCACCUGUGACAAUGAGACAGGUGAGAAAGGGGCCCAGAUGUGGAGGCCAAGCUUCUGAGCUGUGCGUCAAGGAAAAUGAAUUAAAAAUUGAAAAGGGAAACUGCAUGGCCGGGGUGUCUAGUCUCGCUCGAGUCCCACUGGUGCAAGGAUAAACAUUUGGACAGUUCAAGACAAACACAGCUUUGGGUUCUGAACAGGCAGAGCUGCUUUCUCUCGCACACGGAGGCUGCAAUAGGAAAUUGGCUCCUUGCUUGGAAUAAGGACCUGCCUUUCCUAAAGGAGAGGCCUGUCCUGAAGGCCCCACCUGUCACUCUGAGCUGCCUGCCCUCUGCGCACCAGAGCAAGCCAGGCAGCAUAUUCUCCAUGGAGACCUUCAGCAAACAGCUGGCAUCACACAGCAGUGUCAGGCAAGGAGGCCUGGGUACAUCACACUUGUCCAUGCAAACGUUAAGAGAAUCAGGCCUAGCAGCCCCAGGACCUAAUUAGCUCAGAGGCAGUAAGGUCAAAAUGUCACAGCCAAAGCAGCAGCUGACAGUGGCUUCAAAAAGAAGAGGCAUUAUCUUCAACUGGGAAGUCAUGACACAGGAAGAGCACUCAAUAGGGAGGCUGGAGAUGGGUAUUAGCCUGGUUCUGUUGCCUCAUUGCCAUUCCUAGGCCUCAGUUUUCUCAACUGUAAAAUGGGCGUGACUUAGUUGCUAACCCUGGCUUCAUGGCUUCCUCAACUCCUAUCACAUGACACCAAAUUAGGAGCUAAGCAAGGAAUACCAUGUGGUCCUUGCCCUUCAACACGACCAUAAUGUAAACAUAGUGCCUGGCACCAUGCUGGCUC